UCUUCGGAGAAGAGCGGCGGACGGGUGAGUAACGCGUGGGUAACCUGCCCUGUACACACGGAUAACAUACCGAAAGGUAUGCUAAUACGAGAUAAUAUACUUUUAUCGCAUGGUAGAAGUAUCAAAGCUCCGGCGGUACAGGAUGGACCCGCGUCUGAUUAGCUAGUUGGUAAGGUAACGGCUUACCAAGGCGACGAUCAGUAGCCGACCUGAGAGGGUGAUCGGCCACAUUGGAACUGAGACACGGUCCAAACUCCUACGGGAGGCAGCAGUGGGGAAUAUUGCACAAUGGGCGAAAGCCUGAUGCAGCAACGCCGCGUGAGCGAUGAAGGCCUUCGGGUCGUAAAGCUCUGUCCUCAAGGAAGAUAAUGACGGUACUUGAGGAGGAAGCCCCAGCUAACUACGUGCCAGCAGCCGCGGUAAUACGUAGGGGGCUAGCGUUAUCCGGAAUUACUGGGCGUAAAGGGUGCGUAGGUGGUUUCUUAAGUCAGAGGUGAAAGGCUACGGCUCAACCGUAGUAAGCCUUUGAAACUGGGAAACUUGAGUGCAGGAGAGGAGAGUGGAAUUCCUAGUGUAGCGGUGAAAUGCGUAGAUAUUAGGAGGAACACCAGUUGCGAAGGCGGCUCUCUGGACUGUAACUGACACUGA
This 648-nucleotide ribosomal RNA is filed under the name uncultured Clostridium sp. Its description in RNAcentral is "bacterial SSU rRNA". It matches the Rfam family "Bacterial small subunit ribosomal RNA", at positions 82 to 749 of the family's 1533-position model. Lineage: Bacteria; Bacillati; Bacillota; Clostridia; Eubacteriales; Clostridiaceae. The record is from RNAcentral.